GACGAACGCUGGCGGCGUGCCUAAUACAUGCCAGUCGAACGCUUCUUUCCUCCCGAUUGCUUGCACUCAAUUGGAAAGAGGGGUUGCGUACGGGUUAGUAACACGUCGGUAACCUACCCAUCAGAUGGGGAUAACACUUGGAAACAGGUGCUAAUACCGCAUAACAGUUUAUGCCGCAUGGCAUAAGAGUUAUAGGCUCUUUCGGAGGUCGCUGAUGGAUGGACCCGCGGUGCAUUAGCUAGUUGGUGAGGUAACGGCUCACCAAGGCCACGAUGCGUAGCCGACCUGAGAGGGUGAUCGGCCACACUGGGACUGAGACACGGCCCAGACUCCUACGGGAGGCAGCAGUAGGGAAUCUUCGGCAAUGGACGAAAGUCUGACCGAGCAACGCCGCGUGAGUGAAGAAGGUUUUCGGAUCGUAAAACUCUGUUGUUAGAGAAGAACAAGGACGUUAGUAACUGAACGUCUCCUGACGGUAUCUAACCAGAAAGCCACGGCUAACUACGUG
RNAcentral lists this ribosomal RNA (508 nucleotides) under uncultured bacterium. RNAcentral describes it as "partial 16S ribosomal RNA". It matches the Rfam family "Bacterial small subunit ribosomal RNA", at positions 28 to 507 of the family's 1533-position model. The record is from RNAcentral.